GGUUCCGUGGUGUAGGGGUUAACAUGCCUGCCUGUCACGCAGGAGAUCGCGGGUUCAAAUCCCGUCGGGACC
Molecule: transfer RNA, 72 nt
Filed under: Listeria monocytogenes
Lineage: Bacteria; Bacillati; Bacillota; Bacilli; Caryophanales; Listeriaceae
Also listed under: 1 other name
Description: tRNA-Asp
Rfam family: tRNA
About the family: Transfer RNA (tRNA) molecules are approximately 80 nucleotides in length. Their secondary structure includes four short double-helical elements and three loops (D, anti-codon, and T loops). Further hydrogen bonds mediate the characteristic L-shaped molecular structure. tRNAs have two regions of fundamental functional importance: the anti-codon, which is responsible for specific mRNA codon recognition, and the 3' end, to which the tRNAs corresponding amino acid is attached (by aminoacyl-tRNA synthetases). tRNAs cope with the degeneracy of the genetic code in two manners: having more than one tRNA (with a specific anti-codon) for a particular amino acid; and 'wobble' base-pairing, i.e. permitting non-standard base-pairing at the 3rd anti-codon position.
Source: RNAcentral